Molecule: long non-coding RNA, 1229 nt
Organism: Otolemur garnettii (small-eared galago)
Lineage: Eukaryota; Metazoa; Chordata; Mammalia; Primates; Galagidae
Exons: 4
Source: RefSeq, a predicted model, not a curated record
CACAAAUGAGCGUGAACCUCAGGGUUACUCAGCCCAGGGCUUCCGUCCUCUCUGCCACACCUCAGCUAUGUGCCCUUGAGCAAGUCACUGAACCUCUCUGGGCUUUGGGCUCUCGUCUGUCCAGUAGCAGGGUGGUUGCGAGGAUGGCUCUGAGUGCUGAGUUCCGUGGAGAGCUGGGCCAUGCACCCUGACCCAGUCACUGCUCCCAGGAGCUACAUGGAGCUGAGGCUGCAGGGCAAAUGCAGAAGCAAAGAAAGUGGCCAAGUCAACUUUCUAGCUGGAUACGGACUCUGAAGGACCUCGCACUGAGCUUGAACCUUGAGAAGGAAAUCUCGUCUCUGCCAUGGCCUCUGGAUCCCUCCACUCCAGAGACAGGAGGCUCACGCUGGCCCAGCCACACUGCCGUGCCUGACCACCCUGUCCAGCCACACUGCCCUGCCUGUCAGGAUGGAGAAAUCGACUCUUCUAAGCAUGGGGAGAAAGCAGAAAGGGAACCUCGGGACGACCCAACACGCAGCCACGUCACGUGAGCCAGUGGAAAAAGCCUCUUACAGCAGGAUUUCUUUGUGCAUGUGGCCCAGCUGCUCAUCGCCUGGCGAUUCAGUUUUCACUGUUUCACCGACCUUUCUAGAAUCAGAUGCAGCAAGGCCACAAGCUCCACUCUAUCUGUUUCUGGCCACUGCUACCAGGCAGUACCGGGCACUGCAGUACCGGGCACUGCAGCCCCGCCCAGCGUCCAGAUUUGGGAAGGUCCCUCUGCUUCCAGAUCUGCACAGUGGGAAUUAUGAGUGCCAUGUCCUGGGGCAGUUGGGAUGCCCAUUGGGUGAAUAGUGUGAAGAGCCAGCAGACCCAGGGGACAGCAAACACUGACUGCUCAGCAGCACCGAGGCAGAUGGGCUGCAAUGGAGCCUGGGGCCCGAGUAACCAUGGAUUUGUGAGUGCCAGUGUUUUCCCAGCUGUAGUUCAACCUUUAAGGAUGAACAAUUAGUGAGUGGAUUAUCUUGUUGACUCACACCCUCAGAUCAGAAGGCCACGCGUGUUUGCAGAAGCUCAGCCAACCUUCUUUCUAGCUGGGCUCCAUGGUCCACAGAAAAAAAACAAAGAAUUAUAUUUUAAAGAUGAGUUUGUCUAAGAGAAAUGCAAGCCUUCUGAUUCACCUGCUUUUUGAAUUAAGGACAGGCAACAUCAAACCUUAUUCAAGAAACAAAAUAAACAUUAAAUCCUGUCUC